Molecule: non-coding RNA, 29 nt
Filed under: Mus musculus (house mouse)
Lineage: Eukaryota; Metazoa; Chordata; Mammalia; Rodentia; Muridae
Source: RNAcentral
UGGGCUUGGUGGAUUAUGGUGAUAACAAC